UGGGGAAUAUUGGACAAUGGGGGGAACCCUGAUCCAGCGAUGCCGCGUGUGUGAAGAAGGCCUGAGGGUUGUAAAGCACUUUUAGUGGGGAGGAGGGCUUACAGGUUAAGAGCUAGUGAGUUGGACGUUACCCACAGAAAAAGCACCGGCUAACUCCGUGCCAGCAGCCGCGGUAAUACGGAGGGUGCGAGCGUUAAUCGGAAUGACUGGGCGUAAAGGGUGCGUAGGUGGUUAAAUAAGUUAUAGGUGAAAUCAUAGGGCUCAACCUUGUGUGGAAUUAUAAUACUGUUUAACUAGAGUAUAGGAGAGGGCAGUGGAAUUUCCGGUGUAGCGGUGAAAUGCGUAGAGAUCGGAAGGAACACCAGUUGCGAAGGCGGCUGCCUGGCCAUAUACUGACACUGAGUCACGAAAGCGUGGGUAGCAAACAGG
RNAcentral lists this ribosomal RNA (429 nucleotides) under uncultured bacterium. RNAcentral's name for it is "bacterial SSU rRNA". It matches the Rfam family "Bacterial small subunit ribosomal RNA", at positions 355 to 776 of the family's 1533-position model. The record is from RNAcentral.